ACUCAAUUCUCGGGUCUCCAGGAUCAUGCCCUGGGCCAAAGGGCCAAAGGCGGUGCUAAACCGCUGAGCCACCUGGGCUACCCUACAAAAUAUUUAAUAAAGAGAAGCACAUGGACUAACACAGUAGUGUAGGCAGUAUAAUGACAUCCCCCCAAGACUUAAGUGCCCUAAUCCCCAGGACCUGUAGUUACAUGGCAAUUGGAAUUAAGGUUGCUAAUUAGCUAAGAGUAUUAACUGGGUAGGCCCAAAGUGAUCAAAGUGUCCUUAAAAGUGGAAGAGGAGGACAGAAAAAGAGAGAGAUGCAGUGACCAAAGAAAGGUCUGAAAGAGGCUAUGUUGCUGGAUGUGGAGAUGGAAGAAGGGGACCAGAGCCAAGGAAUCAAAGCAUGUGUGGCUUAUUCUCAACAUUCCUGAAACCACCAGCAACUGCUGAAAGCCCGCCUCUUCUCUGCUUCUCUGCCAGUUCUCCAACAGAGUCACAACCACUGACCCAAAAGCUUCACUGUGGGGGGUGGAAAUCCCUCUGUCAUUCAUGAGGAUGUCUGACACUCUCAGGACACCAUGAGAAGACUGUCACCUAUGAGCUACGAAGUGGGCUCCAGACGGGCCCACACCAUUGAUCUUGUACUUGCCAGCCUCCAGAAUUGUAAGAAGUAAAGGUGUGCAUUUAAACCACCCAGUCUGGGAC
Long non-coding RNA from Canis lupus familiaris (dog), 687 nucleotides. RefSeq lists it as uncharacterized. NCBI's taxonomy places the organism in Eukaryota, Metazoa, Chordata, Mammalia, Carnivora, Canidae. The record is from RefSeq and is a predicted model, not a curated record. The transcript is spliced from 3 exons.